UACGAAGGGGGCUAGCGUUGCUCGGAAUGACUGGGCGUAAAGGGCGCGUAGGCGGAUGGCACAGUCAGAUGUGAAAUUCCCGGGCUUAACCUGGGGGCUGCAUUUGAUACGUGUUGUCUUGAGUUCGGAAGAGGGUCGUGGAAUUCCCAGUGUAGAGGUGAAAUUCGUAGAUAUUGGGAAGAACACCGGUGGCGAAGGCGGCGACCUGGUCCGACACUGACGCUGAGGCGCGAAAGCGUGGGGGAGCAAACAGGG
Molecule: ribosomal RNA, 255 nt
Filed under: uncultured bacterium
Lineage: Bacteria
Description: partial 16S ribosomal RNA
Rfam family: Bacterial small subunit ribosomal RNA
Source: RNAcentral